AGCGAACGCUGGCGGCAGGCCUAACACAUGCAAGUCGAACGAACUCUUCGGAGUUAGUGGCGGACGGGUGAGUAACACGUGGGAACGUGCCUUUUGGUUCGGAAUAACUCAGGGAAACUUGUGCUAAUACCGAAUGUGCCCUUCGGGGGAAAGAUUUAUCGCCAUUAGAGCGGCCCGCGUCUGAUUAGCUAGUUGGUGAGGUAACGGCUCACCAAGGCGACGAUCAGUAGCUGGUCUGAGAGGAUGACCAGCCACACUGGGACUGAGACACGGCCCAGACUCCUACGGGGGGCAGCAGUGGGGAAUCUUGCGCAAUGGGCGAAAGCCUGACGCAGCCAUGCCGCGUGAAUGAUGAAGGUCUUAGGAUUGUAAAAUUCUUUCACCGGGGACGAUAAUGACGGUACCCGGAGAAGAAGCCCCGGCUAACUUCGUG
This 433-nucleotide ribosomal RNA is filed under the name uncultured bacterium. RNAcentral describes it as "partial 16S ribosomal RNA". It matches the Rfam family "Bacterial small subunit ribosomal RNA", at positions 29 to 507 of the family's 1533-position model. The record is from RNAcentral.